Non-coding RNA from Triticum urartu, 6838 nucleotides. The record is from RefSeq and is a predicted model, not a curated record. Lineage: Eukaryota; Viridiplantae; Streptophyta; Magnoliopsida; Poales; Poaceae.
GCAGAUUCAAACAAAGAAUGUAUUGCCCACUUGGAUACCGCAGCUUGGCAUGAAGUUCAACACCCUAGAUGAGGCUUGGAAAUUUUGGGGAUAUUACGGAGGAAGGAUGGGGUUCAGCAUCAGAAAAAGGUAUUAAAACAGAAGCAAAUUUGAUGGGAAAGUUACCUCCUGCAAAUAUGUUUGUUUCAAAGUGGGUAAAAAGGCAGUAGACAAAAGAUAUAAUGUUGUUAAGAAUCCAACAGCUGAGACUAGAAUUGACUGUAGAGUUCGUAUGACCCUUUCAAUAAAUCGUGAAGCUGGUAACUGGGCAAUAUCUGAUCUUUUUCUUGAACACAAUCACACACUUCAAUUGCCAGAAGCAUGCCACCUAUUGCUAUGAAAGAGAAUGAUCUCUGAAGUGCAGGCUUUUGAAAUUGAAUGUGCUGAUGACUCUGAUAUUGCACUAAAAGCUGCUCAUGAGUUUGCUAGUUGACGGGUUGACGGAUCAUCUAACCUGAGCUACACUCCUCGGGAUCACAAGAAUCAUUUGAGAACAAAGCACUAAAGGGACCUUAAGUAUGGUGAAGCGGGUAGCAUGUUGAAGUAUUUUCAAGACAGAGCUGCAUAGAAUCCAGCAUUCAAAUAUGUUUUACAGCUGGACUGUGAUGAAAAAUAACAAACAUUUUUUGGGCUGAUGCUAAGGUGAUAAUUGAUUAAGCUCAUUUUGGCGAUGUCAUGACCUUUGACACCACUUUUGGAGCAAAUAAGGAACAUAGGCCAUUUGGUGUGUUCGUUGGAUUCAACCAUUUUAGAGAAACUGUUAUCUUUGGUGCUUCUCUCCUCUAUGAUGAGACAUCUGAAUCUUUUGAAUGCUUGUUUGAUUCUUUCUUAUUAGUACAUAGUGAGAAGCAUCCUAGAACCAUAUAUACUGAAUCAAGAUUGUGCAAUGGGAAAGACAGUUGGGUAUGUUAUUCUUGAAUCACGACAUGGAUUAUGUACACAUUUAUCUAGUUAUGUGGACAAAGAAUCUUGCAGAUUUCAGUGCUUGCAUGUAUCAACAUGGGCACCAAGAAGAAUUUGAGGAAGCAUUUGAAAAUCUGAGGGCUCAAGUGCCAGCACAAACUUGGUUCGGUAGUAUUUACAAAGUAAAAGAGAAGUGGGAAAAAUGUUUCAUGAUAAAUGCAUUUACCUUGGGUAUGCAGAGCAUGCAGCUAAGUGAGAGUAUCAACAAUGACUUGAAGCAUCAUCUGAAGUCAGAUUUAGACGUUGUCCGGUUCUUUCAGGACUUCGAAAGAGCUGUCAAAGUAAAAAGAGAUGUUGAGGUCAAUUCAGAGUUUGAUUCCAGGAAGUACUUGCCAAGAAUCAAAAUGAAGACCCCAAUGUUGAUGCAUGUUGGCCCACUUUAUACUCCUACUAUAUUCGAUUUUUUUCAAAAGGAAUACCGGAGAUCUAUAUCAGCAUGCGCCGAAGCACUAGAUGGACAAUACAAAUACAUGGUUAAAAUUGGAUAUCCUUUUGAGCAUCCAAUAUUUGAAGAAUAAUGGGAAGUUACUGGUAACCCUUUGGAACAAACACCAUCAUGCACUUGUGAUCAGUUUGAUAGACUAGGGAUAUUGUGUGCACAUGCUUUAAAAGUUCUUGACAUGAUGAGCAUUAAGUUCCUUCCAUCACACUAUAUUUUGAAGCGAUGGACCCAAGAAGCACGAGCAGGAUCUGUUAAGGAUAGUCAUGGAAGGAUUGUGAUUGCAGAUCCAAAUAUAGAGGCAGUUCUCCGCCACAAUGGCCUAUCACACAAAUUUAAUAACUUGGCAACUGAAGCAUCACAUUCUGAAGAAUGUGUACUUUGAUCGACAAUACACUUGAUAACCUUAGUAAGUGAAACGACGGUUGUUGAAUGCGGAAGUGCCUCCGCCAGCAUCAGACGAUUUGUUGAAUGCCAAAGUGACUCCUCUAGCAACAACUGAUUUGUUGGCUGCUGCUGCGCCUAAAAAAGAAGGAAGUUAACAAGGCAGCCAAAAAUUCCAAAAGAAGGAAAAAUUGGACUGAAAGGCAGUACAAAAGAAAGAAAACAGAGUUCAAGACAAAAGAAAAUCAUUCAACGGUGAAAACUCUGAAUGAGGAAGACUUGCGUGGAUAUGAGCACAUUACAAACUCCACUGAAUUACUGAAUAUGCCUAGUGCCAGAGCCUCCACUGGAGGCAUAUAUACUUAGGAUAUAUUCUAAUCAUGAUGCUUUGGAGAACAUCAGAAUCAUUAUUUUGUUGAACUUCUGUAGACUUCCAAUUGUUGAACUUUUUUAGACCUUCAAGUUGUACGGGAAAUAUGAAACUUGUUCAACUUAUUUAGUUUCUGGAAGAUCCUUUUUUACUUCCUAGAUAGAUCAGUUUCUCCACGGAUCAAUCAAAAUCAGCGACGAUCUCAAACCAAAUUUGGUGUAUAAAUCUUGAUUGGGGAAAUCACAAGCAGUGAUACAGACAAAAGAUAUAUAGGAUUGUUUUGUUCCUGUGAUACUGAAUAAGUGCCAAUAAGAAGGUUUCAGGAUAGAUUCACCUACGCCAUAUAUAGCUUGAGAAGGCAGUAAAAAUUCAGAAGGACAUCACUGUCCAAUGACGUUGCUGCGCUACCUUCUUCCCCGUGAGUUCGCCGCCUCCUCAGCCGUCCGAGUUCCUCCGUCUCCUGCUGGUUCUCCUCUGCACGAGCCCAUCCAACCAUGCCCUGUCCUCCGUGCGGCCCUAUCUCUCGCUGCACCCAUCAACUCGACCCAGCUCGCCCUCGCCCUUGAUGGUGACCACGAUGGUGACCAACGAUGGCCUGAAUAAAGGGAGGGGCAGCGGCGGCCUGAAUCGAGGGCGAGGCAACAGCGGCAAGAAGUAGUACUGGAAAAAAGAGAUCCAUCGGAUCUGAUUUGUGCGGUGGAUAUGGGCUAUGUUAGCGUCCUAACUUGGCAAGGCAAGUUAGAGGAGCCUGCUCCAGUACUCUGAAUUUUUGAAGGAACCUGAAGGUUAUGAGCAUUACUCUUUGUUCUUGUAGGGAUAGUGUAUGCACAUCUACUGCAUUGAUACAAAGAUAUUAUCGCUCAGGAUUUAGCAAAAGAAGAUUUGUCUGAAUGUUUGCGUAAGGUUGAGUUUCUGUGUAUAAAAUAUUUAUUCACAGUGAAAUCUGAAUGUGUAUAACAGCGUUUGCCGAAUACUACUUCCUUCGCACCGGCGUUCAUUGAUGUGCAUAUCCCGCCCGUCUUGCCGCAUCAUGAUCGAACCAAACGCAUUUUUGACCCAACACACCCACCUAGUAGCAGGAACUGUACCGAGCUGAUCUGUUCCCCUGUUUCUGACCUAGCUGUGUUCGCUUCACAGGAUUUUGAAACUUUUCCAGAGGAUUGGAAUGUCCAUUCCAUAGUUCUAAUGCCCUUGGUAGCAUUUGGAUCAAAGAAAACAUCUACCCCUGUAGAAAGGUUCGCUCAUAGUGGUCAUUCCAAAGGAUUGUGUAAAUCUGGUCUGGUCUCUUUUUUGAGCGGAGGCAUGAGGCAGCCACCGUGCAAAGCUGAAUAAAAAAUUACUUUCACAUGGCGGUGAGAGAAGCUAAACCGGCAUGCAAUGAAUAAAAUAUAAUAUGUUAUUGCAUUACUAGUACGAACACAAGGUUUCCAAUCAAACGAACACCUCUCCUUUUCCCUUUCGUCUGUUUUGGGUCACGCAAAAUUGCACUGUACAACCAACUCCAUUCAUGCACUCCCCCUGUUCCGACAUAGUUGUCGUUGGGGAACUUUUCCGACCAGGUGAAAACAUGAUAAACUACUAAACUACCCUCAAUUUGAAAUUCUUGUCGCCGGGGAUCUUCAUCUUACUCCAUCGCUCCUCCCCUCCGCCAGGCUCCAUCCCACUGCUGCACCUCCGGCGUCCGUCCGCGCCGGUCGCAGCUCCUCGUCGGCCACCUUCCUCCGCUCCAAUCAAGAGCCCAAACUUGUACGCAACUCCCUCGCCAUCCGCCACAGCCUCCAGCCGCCCGCGACUCCUGGCCGUCGCGCCGCCCGCGACUCCUGGCCUUCGCGCCGCCCAUGCUCCUCCCCGCACCGACCAGCAGCAGCGCCGCCCGUGCUCCUCCUCCUCCUGCCUGAGCCUUCCAGCUCCUCGAUUCAGGCACUGGAGCUCCGGAUCCGGCCAAUUGACCUCCGUCCGUGCUCCUCCCCGCACUAACCAACAGCAGCAGCAGUGCAGCCUGUGCUCCUCCUCCUGCCUCAGCCUUCCAGCUCCUCGAUUCAGGCACUGGACCUCCGGAUCCGGCCAAUUGACCUCCGCCCGUGCUCCUCCCCGCACUGACCAACAGCAGCACUAGCGCUGCCUGUGUUGCUGUUUGAAUUGAUCCAAAUUGUUAAUCGCCAAAGAAAUUGAUCGCCGGAGUUGUACCACUUCUUCUCGCCACAGACAGAAAUUGAUCAGAUGUGGUGAUUGACCAGGACGUCUUCUCACCAGUCACAACAAGCUUGAAUUGAUAGCCAGAGCAAUUUUGAAUUGAUCAGCAAGGAGCAGCCACUGUCCAUCUGUUCACCUGUCAAAACUAGCAGAUCAACAGUAGGAGCAAGGAUCAGCAAGGAGCAGCAAGGAUCAGCAAGGAGCAGAAAAUUGGCAAAUUAGCAGAUCAACAGUAGGAGAAAAUGGAUCUCCCAGACCUCAACUUCACUCCACCUGCAGAAGAUGUGGAUGAAAAUGCAGAAAAUGAAAUGGAAGGACAUGUAGGAGAUGAUAUGGAAGGAGAUGCCGGAGAGGGAAUGGAAGGAGAUGAAAUUGUUCAAAAUCCAGGUACAGUUACACUUGAUCAUUCCAUCAUUUCAUCACUUGAUCAGUCCAUCACUUCAUCACUUGAUCAUUUCAUUUAAUCAUUUCUUUGUUGUAUGUCUUGGUGCAGGUGCUGGACAAGUUGGUAGAAAAAAUAAAACCCUCAAUGACCAGCAAAAAUUUGCUGCUUAUGUAGCAUUGCAUACACUGUGUAUGAGUAGAGGAGGCACUUUUAAGAAAACCGAUACGCAAGAUAUUGCAAAUUUUUUUGCAGUGGGUGUUUGGAAUAUACAAAGAAUUUGGAGGAAAGCAAUGUUGCAAAUUCAACAAGGUCAAGAGGUAGAUGUUGCCGAUCAGAGAAAAGGAAAUUCUGGAAGAAAGCCUAAGGACAUUAACCUAGAAAAAACCCUAACAAUCCCAUUAAAUAGGAGGUCUACUAUUAGAUCACUAGCCUGGCAACUGGGAUGUAGCCCUACUACACUUCAUAGAAAGUUCAUGCUAAAUUUGAUUAGGAGGCAUACAAACUGUGUGAAGCCGGCUUUAAAGGAAAAGAAUAAGAUGGAUAGGAUGAAUUUUUGUUUGUCGAUGCUUGAUGAGGCAACAACAGCAACUGCGAGGCCUAAGUUCAAGACUAUGCAUAACGUUGUCCAUAUUGACGAGAAGUGGUUUAACAUGACAAAGAAGAAUAGAACAUAUUAUCUGCUAGAUGGGGAGGAAGAGCCUACGAGGCCUAUACACGGCAACUGUAUUGGCAAGGUGAUGUUUUUAACGGCCGUUGCUAGGCCAAGGUGGGACAGCGAAGGAAACAUGACCUUCUCUAGGAAAACCGGUAUCUGGCCAUUCGUGAAAGAAGUUCCUGCUCAGAGGAGAAGCGACAACAGGCCCAGAGGUACAAUAGAGACAAAGUCAAUAAAGGUCGAUAGAAAAGUGAUGAGGGAGUUCCUGAUAGAGAAAGUCUUGCCAGCGAUACAAGCAGUUUGGCUGGAAAGUGAUGCUGGGACAGACCAUCUACAUUCAGCAGGAUAAUGCUAAGCCCCAUAUCUUGCCAGAUGACCAGGAAUUUCUAGCAGCUGUCGCAAAAACUGGACUUGACAUUAGAUUAGUACAACAGCCUGCCAACAGUCCUGAUUUGAAUGUGCUUGACCUUGGGUUUUUCAACUCGCUGCAAUCGCUGACAGAUUGUCUGAGUCCUAAAACACUACAAGACCUUAUUGCAGGUGUUUUGGAGGAAUUUGAAGGCUAUGAUGUUUACAAGCUCAACAGAAUUUUCCUAACUCUACAAAUGUGCAUGAUUGAGAUCAUGAACCAUGCGGUGGGAAAUGCGUAUAAAAUACCACAUGUUAACAAGGAAAGGCUUGAGGGUCUUGGGCAGCUACCUCCAAGACUAACAUGCCUGAAAGAGGUUUACACGAAUGCCCUAUACAACUUAGAGGUAAUGGGGAGGGUUCAGUGAUGAGGCUUGUUCGGAUGCUUGAGAUGAGGCUUGUUCGGAUGCUUGAGAUGAGGCUUGUUCCGAUGCUUGACAUGAGGCUUGUUCAGAUGCUUGAGAUGAGGCUUGUUCCGAUGCUUGACAUGAGGCUUGUUCAGAUGCUUGAGAUGAGGCUUGUUCCGAUUCUUGACAUGAGGCUUGUUCAGAUGCUUGAGAUGAGCUUGUUCAGAUGCUUGAGAUGAGGCUUGUUCCGAGGCUUGACAUGAGGCUUGUUCAGAUGUGGAGUAUGUGUAGUUCCUUGAGAUGAGACUUGUGCGGAGUGCAUCCCAUGUGAAAUUACUCCAUAUGUGUAAUACUCCAUUUUGUGAGGCUUGUAUGUGUAACUCCAUUUUGUGAUCAUUUUUACUCCAUAUUUUUUUUCCAUUUUGUGAGACUUGUAUGUGUAAUUCAUUUGCUUGUGUGGAGUACUCCAUUUAAAUGAAAGAGAAGAGAAGAGAGUAGUAGGAGACAAGAUGAGUGAAUUUAGAGAUGAUAAGAUAAUUUAGAGAAGAAGAGAACAAGCAAAGUAGUAGGAGAGGAAAUGAGUGGGAGAGGAGAGGAGUAUGGAGGGCACAAGGGAAGUACACUAAACUACAGAUGCAAGAAGAGAAAGAGAAGA